UAGUAAUACAAAGAAUAGUGCAGCUUAGAGAACAUCUCCAUCAACCUUAUAUGGGUGACACCGUGACAUACACCAAGUAUAAGUUAAGUGAUGGCCUGGUAACUAUAAGCAUUACCUUCCAAUUUGCAAGAGUGAGUUAAGUGAUGGUAAGUAUACAACUUGAGGCGCUAUAUCAAAGCGUCGCCUAACUUAGCUCCUACAAGGAAAGACGUGCAUAAAAAAGCCGUAAUGAAGUAUUUUUAACCUCCUCUAUUUCUCUGAAAGCCUAAAUCACUACUCCAACCUCCCAGUCUCCGACGCACGUUCCAGUUCCGAUCUCUGAACAACUUCUGAUUCCAGCCCCUAAUUCUUCCGAUUGUCGACUUCAAUACUCUUUCACUUUGAAUUUUGGUUAUAAUUUCGUUGGUAAUUUUAUAGUCCGUGGAGUAAAAUUGCAAUUUUAAUACAGUUUCCAAUUUGAUUUGAUCUCGAAUUUCGCAGGUGGUUCUUCUUAUUAUCGACUUCUAUGUGGUACCCUUACACUAAGAAUUUCGGUUAUAAUUUCGCUAGUAAUUUCUAUGGUUUAUAGAGUAUCAAUUUUAAUUUUAAUUACAAUUUCCAAUUUGAAUUGAUCUUGAAUUUCGCUGGUAACUUCACUUCAAAUUUAUGUGGUAGUUUAUUGUUUCUCCAAUUUCUCUUUUGAUCUAAAUUUUGCAUUUUCAGCGACGAAUAUUCGGUGCCUGGUAAUUUUUUUUGUAGAGCUUCAUACUGACCUUAUACACAAGAUAACAGCUGUAUUUUCUAAAAUCUUCAACAACAAUACAAAUUAUGAGAUGGUUGUGGUGGAAAAUAUGAGGCUGCUUUCAAACACUUCAUAUUAAUUUUCAAAUGUUCUCAAGUUGAAAAAUGCAGUAGAUUGAAGACAGGAUGAAACUCAUUCCAUGAAACUCAUUCGAAUUUUUAAUUCAACUCAAUUGUUCAUUCCACUAACACUCUAGCAGACAGGAUCAAUCCAACUAAUUGCAAAAAUCCAAACCUAACUUGCUUGUUUAUCAUUAAAACAUUAAUUACAAUAUCAAACAAGAACAGGCUUAGCCAAACUUCAAAUUAAACAAAAUAGACAAUCUAAAACCCAAAUUUAUCCAAGAAAAACAAAAACAAUUGAAUUCAAAUAUGAAAUUGAAUAGAACAAAUAUUUCAAGAUAAAAAAAUCACCUGAAAAGAAUAUUGAUUCGUUCAGAGGCGCUACGGCAGUUUUAGCGACGCCGCCGACAACUCCACCAGCGAGAAGCUAAAAGGAAUAUCACUGACGCUGCUCCUGACAUUUCAGCUUCGAACGACAAAACUCAGCAGAAACCCUAAUUAUUGAAAAUUAGGGGAAGAUUUAGAUCAGCGAAGAAGAAGGAGAUGAGAUCUGGGGGAAAUUGUUGAAAUGCGUGAGUGCAAGGGUAUGGCGGUGAUCGAGAAUUUUUUAUGGAUGAGUGAAAGAGCAGAGGCAAAGGACAUAAUAGAGAAGAAGGGAGAUGGCUAGCUUAAGAAACAUGAAAAGUGAUCCACAACUUCAGAAGAAGAGAGAAAAGAAAAGGACGAAAAGUAAAGAAAAAAAUGAAAAAGUGUUGCACUCGGAGUUUUGAAAGAUGAAAAAAUGCUUAUGAAUAUUAUGUGGAUGCCCAUUAUACCCUUAAUAUAUUUCCGGAAUAUUCUAGAUCUUAGGGUUUAUUGUUUCCUAAGCAAACCCUAUUAUAUUGUAUGUAUAUAUACCGCAUUGUUCAUGGAAUAAGAAACACAGUUAUUCUCUCCCAAUUUCUCCUCCCUUAUCUCUGUAUUUCACAACACGUUAUCAGCACCAAAGCUCUACCAACGAGUUCAUCUAACCGAUA
Spinacia oleracea (spinach) is the source of this 1859-nucleotide long non-coding RNA. RefSeq lists it as uncharacterized. The transcript is spliced from 3 exons. Lineage: Eukaryota; Viridiplantae; Streptophyta; Magnoliopsida; Caryophyllales; Amaranthaceae. The record is from RefSeq and is a predicted model, not a curated record.